Molecule: long non-coding RNA, 181 nt
Organism: Sceloporus undulatus (fence lizard)
Lineage: Eukaryota; Metazoa; Chordata; Lepidosauria; Squamata; Phrynosomatidae
Exons: 3
Source: RefSeq, a predicted model, not a curated record
AAGGCCAAAAAGAGCGGGAUGAAAAAAACAGGUUUAAGAUGAAAAUGAAACCGAAGAGAAGAGGCUGAAAAUAUAAUUCAUGAAAUACAGUGCUGGAGUCUGAUGGCCCAGGGAAUAAGGGGAAAGAAAGAAAUUCCACUUAAGAUCAAGGUUAGCAGAUCUGAGAGUCAAGCCAUGUUGA